RNAcentral lists this ribosomal RNA (412 nucleotides) under Bothriocyrtum californicum. Its description in RNAcentral is "partial 12S ribosomal RNA". The record is from RNAcentral. Lineage: Eukaryota; Metazoa; Arthropoda; Arachnida; Araneae; Ctenizidae.
CCUUUAUUCUUUGACGGCCUUUUAUCUUAUUAGAGAAACUUGCUUCUUAAUCGACAAUCCACGUUCAGUUUUACUUUUUUUCAGUUCUUAUACCGCCGUCUUAAGAGCGAAUUUACAAAUCCCCUCUAAUUAGUUUUACUUUAAAGUCAGGUCAAGGUGAGACCCAUAAAGGAGAUGAAGUGAGUUACACAUUUUCAUAAAUAAUUAUUCAAUUUUAAAAAAUUCUAUUAUGAAAAAACUAGGAUUUAAAAGUAGUUCAAAAAUAAUAUUUUUGAACGAACUUGACUAAAAGGUGUACAUAUCGCCGUCACCCUCAUCAAAAGAUGAGGUAAGUCGUAACACAGUUAGUGUCUGGAAAGUGCACUAAGCGAAUCAAUAAUAGCUUCAUUACAGCACUUCACUUCACUGAAAA